This is a long non-coding RNA of Zea mays, 392 nucleotides long. RefSeq lists it as uncharacterized. Lineage: Eukaryota; Viridiplantae; Streptophyta; Magnoliopsida; Poales; Poaceae. The record is from RefSeq and is a predicted model, not a curated record. The transcript is spliced from 3 exons.
CUGAUUUGCAGAAGUAAUAUUGCUCGAAAAUGUAGAGCUGACUCUUGAAGCCUUUGACUACAUGCAGCUGCCAUUCACGCUGAAAGCGCAUUCUAACACGGCAUGAUACACCAGCAACUGAAUGUUGUCAACAUCAGCGGCAACGACGACAACUCCACAUCGAGAAACAACAACUGUGGGCCAGGGAGCACAAUCCCGUGGUGCGGUGACUUGCCCACGUUUGCCAUGCUGCCUUGAUGCAUGGCACAUCAACAAGAAGAGCACCAGUUUGGAAGGCUAAUUCCGAAGGAAUUGAGAUGUGCAGAGGGAGAUGAAGAAUGUGGAGAAAGACAUCAGGGUGGCUACCAAGCGCAAUGACAUGUUAUCUGCAAAGGUACGGUCAGUCUGAUCUU